RNAcentral lists this long non-coding RNA (255 nucleotides) under Elaeis guineensis (African oil palm). Its description in RNAcentral is "long non-coding RNA (EGUI_LNC015462)". Lineage: Eukaryota; Viridiplantae; Streptophyta; Magnoliopsida; Arecales; Arecaceae. The record is from RNAcentral.
GCUGAGAUCUGGCCAUGGAGGUCGUAGAUCGCCUGGUGGAUACCUUUCAGGGAGGCAUCAGGUUGGGAUCUGAUCAGAGAAGAAGAAGAAGAUGUCAAAGAAGAUGAUCGGAGACAGUCCCGUUGAGUAUUUCUUUAAGAACAAGGGUCCUGCGAAGACACAGUCCCUUCCUCUAGCGCCAAUUCUGUUGGUGCAGAAUUUCACCAAUGUCGGAGAAGCUGGAGUCGAGGGGAUCACGGCUGCCAUCGGGACCUG